GACGAACGCUGGCGGCAUGCCUAAUACAUGCAAGUCGAGCGAACAGAUGAAGUGCUUGCACUCCUGACGUUAGCGGCGAACGGGUGAGUAACACGUAAGGACUCUACCUAUAAGCGGGGGAUAACAUUCGGAAACGGGUGCUAAUACCGCAUAAUAUUUUCUUCCGCAUGGAAGAAGAUUGAAAGACGGCCCUGCUGUCACUUAUAGAUGACCUUGCGGUGCAUUAGUUAGUUGGUGGGGUAAGGGCCUACCAAGACGAUGAUGCAUAGCCGACCUGAGAGGGUGAUCGGCCACAUUGGGACUGAGACACGGCCCAAACUCCUACGGGAGGCAGCAGUAGGGAAUCUUCCGCAAUGGGCGAAAGCCUGACGGAGCAAUGCCGCGUGAGUGAAGAAGGCCUUCGGGUCGUAAAACUCUGUUAUAAGAGAAGAACAAAUUGUAGAGUAACUGCUACAGUCUUGACGGUAUCUUAUCAGAAAGCCACGGCUAACUACGUGCCAGCCGCCGCCGUAA
Molecule: ribosomal RNA, 513 nt
Filed under: uncultured bacterium
Lineage: Bacteria
Description: partial 16S ribosomal RNA
Rfam family: Bacterial small subunit ribosomal RNA
Source: RNAcentral